This 253-nucleotide ribosomal RNA is filed under the name uncultured bacterium. Its description in RNAcentral is "partial 16S ribosomal RNA". It matches the Rfam family "Bacterial small subunit ribosomal RNA", at positions 524 to 776 of the family's 1533-position model. The record is from RNAcentral.
GACAGAGGAGCCAAGCGUUGUCCGGAUUGACUGGGCGUAAAGCGCACGCAGGCGGCCGUGCACGUGGGGUGUGAAAGCUGGCGGCUUAACUGCCAGACGCCACCUCAUACGGCACGGCUCGAGCCCGUGAGAGGUCCACGGAAUUGCCGGUGUAGUGGUGAAAUGCGUAGAGAUCGGCAGGAACACCCAGGGGGAAACCAGUGGACUGGCACGGUGCUGACGCUCAGGUGCGAAAGCGUGGGGAGCGAACCGA